This 496-nucleotide ribosomal RNA is filed under the name uncultured bacterium. Its description in RNAcentral is "partial 16S ribosomal RNA". It matches the Rfam family "Bacterial small subunit ribosomal RNA", at positions 29 to 507 of the family's 1533-position model. The record is from RNAcentral.
AUGAACGCUGGCGGCGUGCCUAAUCCAUGCAAGUCGAGCGAACGGACGAGAAGCUUGCUUUUCUGAUGUUAGCGGCGGACGGGUGAGUAACACGUGGAUAACCUACCUAUAAGACUGGGAUAACUUCGGGAAACCGGAGCUAAUACCGGAUAAUAUUUUGAACCGCAUGGUUCAAAAGUGAAAGACGGUCUUGCUGUCACUUAUAGAUGGAUCCGCGCUGCAUUAGCUAGUUGGUAAGGUAACGGCUUACCAAGGCAACGAUGCAUAGCCGACCUGAGAGGGUGAUCGGCCACACUGGAACUGAGACACGGUCCAGACUCCUACGGGAGGCAGCAGUAGGGAAUCUUCCGCAAUGGGCGAAAGCCUGACGGAGCAACGCCGCGUGAGUGAUGAAGGUCUUCGGAUCGUAAAACUCUGUUAUUAGGGAAGAACAUAUGUGUAAGUAACUGCGCACAUCUUGACGGUACCUAAUCAGAAAGCCACGGCUAACUACGUG